Molecule: ribosomal RNA, 468 nt
Filed under: uncultured bacterium
Lineage: Bacteria
Description: partial 16S ribosomal RNA
Rfam family: Bacterial small subunit ribosomal RNA
Source: RNAcentral
GACGAACGCUGGCGGCGUGCUUAACACAUGCAAGUCGAACGGAAAGGCCCUGCUUUUGUGGGGUGCUCGAGUGGCGAACGGGUGAGUAACACGUGAGUAACCUGUCCUUGACUUUGGGAUAACUUCAGGAAACUGGGGCUAAUACCGGAUAGGAGCUCCUGCUGCAUGGUGGGGGUUGGAAAGUUUCGGCGGUUGGGGAUGGACUCGCGGCUUAUCAGCUUGUUGGUGGGGUAGUGGCUUACCAAGGCUUUGACGGGUAGCCGGCUUGAGAGGGUGACCGGCCACAUUGGGACUGAGAUACGGCCCAGACUCCUACGGGAGGCAGCAGUGGGGAAUAUUGCACAAUGGGCGGAAGCCUGAUGCAGCAACGCCGCGUGCGGGAUGACGGCCUUCGGGUUGUAAACCGCUUUCGCCUGUGACGAAGCGUGAGUGACGGUAAUGGGUAAAGAAGCACCGGCUAACUACGUG